CGAGUGAAGCGGCAACAGCUCAAAUUUGAAAUCUGGCGCAAGCCCGAGUUGUAAUUUGUAGAGGAUGUUUCUGGCGACGUGCCUUCCGAGUUCCCUGGAACGGGACGCCAUARAGGGUGAGAGCCCCGUACGGUUGGAUGCCUAGCCUCUGUGAAACUCCUUCGACGAGUCGAGUAGUUUGGGAAUGCUGCUCUAAAUGGGAGGUAUACGUCUUCUAAAGCUAAAUACCGGCCAGAGACCGAUAGCGCACAAGUAGAGUGAUCGAAAGAUGAAAAGCACUUUGAAAAGAGGGUUAAAAAGUACGUGAAAUUGUUGAAAGGGAAGCGUUCAUGACCAGACUUGGGCAGGUUGAUCAUCCGUGGUUCUCCGCGGUGCACUCUGCCUGCCCAGGCCAGCAUCAGUUCGCCCCGGGGGAUAAAGGCUCUGGGAAUGUGGCUCCUCCGGGAGUGUUAUAGCCCACUGCGUAAUACCCUGGGGUGGACUGAGGUUCGCGCUCUGCAAGGAUGCUGGCGUAAUGGUCAUCAACGACCCGUCUUGAAACACGGACCAAGGAGUCGUCUUCGUAUGCGAGUGUUCGGGUGUCAAACCCCUACGCGUAAUGAAAGUGAACGUAGGAGAGAGCUUCGGMGCAUCUCMGACCGAUCCUGAYGUUCUCGGAUGGAUUUGAGUAAGAGCAUACGGGGCCGGACCCGAAAGAAGGUGAACUAUGCCUGUAUAGGGUGAAGCCA
RNAcentral lists this ribosomal RNA (728 nucleotides) under Clonostachys sp. Its description in RNAcentral is "partial large subunit ribosomal RNA". The record is from RNAcentral. Lineage: Eukaryota; Fungi; Ascomycota; Sordariomycetes; Hypocreales; Bionectriaceae.